This 75-nucleotide antisense RNA is filed under the name Streptomyces melanosporofaciens. Its description in RNAcentral is "ASpks TB sRNA". It matches the Rfam family "ASpks TB sRNA". The record is from RNAcentral. Lineage: Bacteria; Bacillati; Actinomycetota; Actinomycetes; Kitasatosporales; Streptomycetaceae.
CUUGAUGGAGCCGAGCCACAGCGGAUGUCCACUCCGCCGCUCCUGCCCGUACGUGGCCAGCAGCGCCUGCGCCUC